RNAcentral lists this ribosomal RNA (426 nucleotides) under uncultured prokaryote. RNAcentral describes it as "bacterial SSU rRNA". It matches the Rfam family "Bacterial small subunit ribosomal RNA", at positions 355 to 796 of the family's 1533-position model. The record is from RNAcentral.
UGGGGAAUUUUCCGCAAUGGGCGCAAGCCUGACGGAGCAACGCCGCGUGAGGGAGGAAGGCCUGUGGGUCGUAAACCUCUUUUCUCAGGGAAGAAGAACUGACGGUACCUGAGGAAUCAGCAUCGGCUAACUCCGUGCCAGCAGCCGCGGUAAGACGGAGGAUGCAAGCGUUAUCCGGAAUUAUUGGGCGUAAAGCGUCCGUAGGCGGUUACGAAAGUCUGGUGUUAAAGCCCACAGCUCAACUGUGGAUUGGCAUUGGAAACUGCGUGACUAGAGAGUGGUAGGGGUAGAGGGAAUUCCUAGUGUAGCGGUGAAAUGCGUAGAUAUUAGGAAGAACACCAGUGGCGAAGGCGCUCUACUGGGCCAUUACUGACGCUGAUGGACGAAAGCUAGGGGAGCGAAAGGGAUUAGAUACCCCCGUAGUCC